ACGGAAUAGAUACCCAGGUAGUCCACGCCCUAAACGAUGUCUACUAGUUGUCGGGUCUUAAUUGACUUGGUAAACGCAGCUAAACGCGUGAAGUAGACCGCCUGGGGAGUACGGUCGCAAGAUUAAAACUCAAAGGAAUUGACGGGGACCCGCACAAGCGGUGGAUGAUGUGGAUUAAUUCGAUGCAACGCGAAAAACCUUACCUACCCUUGACAUGGAAGGAAUCCCUGAGAGAUUGGGGAGUGCUCGAAAGAGAACCUUUACACAGGUGCUGCAUGGCUGUCGUCAGCUCGUGUCGUGAGAUGUUGGGUUAAGUCCCGCAACGAGCGCAACCCUUGUCAUUAGUUGCUACG
Molecule: ribosomal RNA, 353 nt
Filed under: uncultured bacterium
Lineage: Bacteria
Description: bacterial SSU rRNA
Rfam family: Bacterial small subunit ribosomal RNA
Source: RNAcentral